This 468-nucleotide ribosomal RNA is filed under the name uncultured bacterium. RNAcentral's name for it is "partial 16S ribosomal RNA". The stretch from base 18 to 368 matches the Rfam family "Bacterial small subunit ribosomal RNA", at positions 45 to 394 of the family's 1533-position model. The record is from RNAcentral.
GACGAACGCUGGCGGCGUGCUUAACACAUGCAAGUCGAACGGAAAGGCCCUGCUUUUGUGGGGUGCUCGAGUGGCGAACGGGUGAGUAACACGUGAGUAACCUGCCCUUGACUUUGGGAUAACUUCAGGAAACUGGGGCUAAUACCGGAUAGGAGCUCCUGCUGCAUGGUGGGGGUUGGAAAGUUUCGGCGGUUGGGGAUGGACUCGCGGCUUAUCAGCUUGUUGGUGGGGUAGUGGCUUACCAAGGCUUUGACGGGUAGCCGGCCUGAGAGGGUGACCGGCAACAGUGGGAAAGAGAUAAGGCCGAGAGGAAUAAGGGAGGAAGAAGGGGGGAAGAGUGAAGAAGGGGCGGAAGCAGGAUGCAGCAAGGAGGAGUGCGGGAGGAAGGAAGGAGGGUUGGAAAAAGGGGGCGACUGGGAAGAAGGGGGAGGGAAGGGAAGGGGGAAAGAAGAAAAGGAGAACUAAGUG